GUUUAUAUUUAGAACAUGGACAUUAUAUAUUCAGUUGUUUACAUGUAGCCGAGAUAUCAAGAAGUCUAUUAAAUAUCAGAAUAUUAUAUGCGGUGUUGCUAUGUUCUUGUAUACGUCGAGACCGUCUAAUUGGCUGUUCCGCGGUUGAUCUGAUCCAUAGUGUCAUGGUUGAGUGAAUUCUUCUGCUAGGGAUGGCGUCAUUGGAAUGUUUGGAUUGUUGUGUGGCGGAUGUUGAAGGAAGUGUUAUUUGGAAGUUAGUAUUAGUCAUAGUAUCGUUAUUAGUAGGACAUUUACGUGUUGUUUUAAGUUGUAAGUAAAUAGUGGGAAUUUCAACGUGUCGGUUAAUUGUAUUACCAGACAUACUGUACCAUGCCUCUUUAAAUUCACGUGCGUGUUUUGUUUGUGCUCGUCCUAAUAGUUCCGUUUCUGUCCAGUUGAAGGUAUGGCAGUUGUCGUAUGUGUGUGCUGCAGGUAGUGAUUUAUAAUCGUAUCGUUUUAUGGCGUUUUUGUGUUCAGUUAUUCGUGUUUCAACUUUUUUCGAGGUUUGAAAUAUAUAUCGUUCUGGACAGUCUCUGCAAGGUAUCAUGUAUAUAGCAUUUUUUGUUUGUUUUGAUGCUGUUUUGUCUUUGUGUUUUGUGAAAUAUGACCUAAGUUUAUGUGCCGGUUUGUGUGCUACGUCAAUGUUGAAAUGUCGCAAUAAUCUGGCGGUCAUUUCAGAUGUACUGUUUAUGUAAGGUAGAGUUAUUCUUGUCCUUGAUUGUUCAGGUUGUUCGUCAGGUAUGUUACUCUGUUGUUUGUUACGUAUUUUUGUUAGUAUUUUGUUAAUGAAGUUCCUAGGGUAGUUGUUUUUCAU
RNAcentral lists this long non-coding RNA (853 nucleotides) under Paramuricea clavata. Lineage: Eukaryota; Metazoa; Cnidaria; Anthozoa; Malacalcyonacea; Plexauridae. The record is from RNAcentral.